Molecule: transfer RNA, 73 nt
Filed under: uncultured archaeon
Lineage: Archaea
Description: tRNA-Ala(ggc)
Rfam family: tRNA
About the family: Transfer RNA (tRNA) molecules are approximately 80 nucleotides in length. Their secondary structure includes four short double-helical elements and three loops (D, anti-codon, and T loops).
Source: RNAcentral
UGGGCCUAUUGUUCAGUGGUAGAAUGCUCGGCUGGCAGUCGAGAGGCUCGAGUUCGAUUCUCGAUAGGUCCAU